Molecule: long non-coding RNA, 2469 nt
Filed under: Pomacea canaliculata
Lineage: Eukaryota; Metazoa; Mollusca; Gastropoda; Architaenioglossa; Ampullariidae
Description: uncharacterized LOC112556629
Source: RNAcentral
ACCAAUUUCUUAAGGUUGUUUUCCUCAACAAUCUGUAGCCACAGGUGUAACAAAAAGCAAGGAAUGCAAACAUACUGCAGUCAGUGUUGUUGCUGCUAGGAGAAUUAGAUAAAGACAGUCUAGAAAUUGUGAACACAGCCAUUCAUCAGAAACUGGAGAAUAUGUAACCUACACCUUGAACAAGAUGAGCAAAGCAAUAUACUAGAAUGAAUGUGUAAAAGUGUACAAAAUUAAAUAAAAUGAAAGAUUUUAUUUAAGGUGUUCUGUUGGAAGGUAAUUGUUAUUAAUUUUGUAUUAAAGUUUUAUGCAGCAAGGUUAACCAACAUGGCAGUACAAUUUAUUUUUAAAAAGUACAUAAUCAUCAAAAUCAAGAACAGCCAAUAAAAAAAUAAACAUAGUGCCUUUGAUUUUGCAUGUAAUCGUUGCAUACAGAUUUAUAGUCAAGGCUGUUAAAUGGAAUAUGAUGAAAGUUGCAUCCACCAGCAAACAAGAUAAUGACUGAUGUUCCAGCUCCAGAUCUUCCCAAGAGCAAAAGAAUGUUUUAAACACUGUGUUUGCAAAAAAUUGUCGCAUACAUAGUUCAUAGUUGCUUUUUUGUCUCCACUCCAAGAAGCUUGUACAAGAAUGCAGUGUGACCUCUAACUGCCAUCUUUGACUUUACAACCUUUUUUCUUUCCUUUUUUAUGAAUUCCUGAUGGUAGUUAUAUCAUCAAAGUCAUAUCGGUGGUCAAAAUACGUUUAGGCCAAAAACCUUUUAUAUGCACAUUUCAUGGUUUUCAAAUUAUUAAAAAUGAUACUUUACAUGAACCCCACAUGCAAACAUAGCCAGAAGGAGCCUCUAAAACACAUACUACAGAGAAUAAAUCUUUAUUGCAUAUUAACCUCCCCUCCUUAACCAUUAUCACGGAGAAGGCAUGGGGACGAGAGAAAAUACAACUUAUUUUUCCCUUAAUAAAUAAUAAUAUCUAAGUAAUUGUUCAGUAAACAAAUCAAUCAGAAUAUGAAAUGGGGCUAUUAUCCAUAGCUGAUUAAAUAGAAAAAAAGCACAGUUACUAGCACAGUCUAAAAUGGGUACAUAAAUUACUGUAUUUUUAAGUAAGUUUAUCUGAAUGAUGUCAUUUUCAUGUGGGAUUAUUAUCAAGCACUCUGAUUAGCUGGUGCUACAGUUAUCUCAUAAUCCUUUUAUUAGGCUCAUUAUGUAUUGCUGCUUGCACUGUUACUGGUUAGUCUUGUUAUAUUGGUUGUGAGCAUUAUCAUGUACCCAUCACCAUCAUUGUGAUCAUGGUUUUCUUUGUGACAUGUCUUUUUGCUCUCUAUUAAUCCUGUGCCAGUUUAGAGAAAUGAGGACUAUUUAAGCCUAAGUUUCAUUUUAUUUUUUAAACUGGAAUUUUUUUCUUUUAUUUCCUUGCAAUGUUUUCACUUCUUAUGUAUAUGUUACAAUACUCAUUGAAAUGGUAUUUGUAGUCCAUGCAAUCUGAGAGUAAACUUUUAAUAAAAUUCAUAUAUAGACUGGAAACAUUACUUAUAUCGUUAUUUUCAUCUGCAUCCUAAAAAUAAAUUACACACAACAUUUAUAACUCUUCAUUUAAUAAAAGCAACCCACCAUUCUAAAAUUAUAAAAUUUAUUCUGAUAUGAAAAAUAAUGUUUAGAACCUGCUAAUACUACUGCAAUAGCUGUCAUCAUUUAGAAAUUAGAAAGUCAUGAAUCAGAAUAGUUACUGUAAAUAUUGGCAGAUAAUUUAGACCACAUUUAUAUACUAAAGUCAUAACAUAAUGUACUGAAAAAGUACAUAAAUUUAAGUAAAUGUCAAAUAUACAGAUGUCUAUAUAUGUCUAAACUUUAUCCAGUUUGGAUAACUGUAGCAAAUGUAGACAAAUACAUAUUUCCUGUUAGAAACUACAAAGAAUCUUUUGCAUUUAAAACAUUAAAUGUUUAAGUUUUUGAAGCAUCUGACUUCAUGGCAGCUUGACAAUUAAGAUAUUUUGUCCAUUUUUUCAUUUUGCUUAGUUUUACCUGUCCAUUCAAGAAUAAAUCCUCUUAAGAAAAUUAAAGCACAUGUAUAAGUAUGCAUCCCUCUUUUUAUAUCUACACAUAUUCAUAUACAUAUAUCUUUUGAUAUUUUGGCAGAUUUCCAUUUCAGGCUAUUUAGGUGUCUGCUUGUAUUACCAUUUUUUUGAAUGAAUUUUUUUUUUCCAUUCCUGUAUAUUUCAUUGUUGUGAUCUUUAACAAGUUUAUUUUUACUUAUAAACCUUUGCAGUAUUUUCAGUGCUAAAUUUUAUUCAAAUAUUUAUUCACAUUCAAGCUCCCCCCAAUGUUAUACGUGCAAAGAAAACUCAUUUAUAAGCAAGUAUAUAUGCUUAUUGAUGUGCAUUGCAAAAAAAAAAAAAGUGAGCAUAAUUUCCUUUUUGAGGUAGCUAGAGUAUAAAUGUAUUAAAUAUAUUUUUAUUAAAAAAAAUUUGUGAAGGGUC